This 238-nucleotide unclassified non-coding RNA is filed under the name Hevea brasiliensis (rubber tree). Lineage: Eukaryota; Viridiplantae; Streptophyta; Magnoliopsida; Malpighiales; Euphorbiaceae. The record is from RNAcentral.
CCGCUCCUCCUGCUCUUCACCGCGGGCGUCGGCAUCACUCUCAUCCAGCACCGGCUGGUGUUCUCGACAGAGCCGCUCAGCCCGAAAUUCAGCAAGAUCUCGCCCAUGGCGGGCUUCCAGCGGCUGUUCGGCAAGCAGGCGGGUGCGAACUUUCUCAAGGGCAUCUUCAAGGUCGUUCUGCUCGGCGUCGUGAUGUUCCUCGUAUUAUGGCCCGAGCGUCACCGGGUUGAUGCGAUGA